Molecule: ribosomal RNA, 468 nt
Filed under: uncultured bacterium
Lineage: Bacteria
Description: partial 16S ribosomal RNA
Rfam family: Bacterial small subunit ribosomal RNA (bases 52-468)
Source: RNAcentral
GGGGGGGGGGGGGGGGGGGCGGGGGGGGUGCAGGGGGGGCGGGGGGGCCGGGCGGUGGGGGGGUGCUCGAGGGGCGAACGGGUGGGUAACACGUGGGUAACCUGCCCUUGACGUUGGGAUAACUUCAGGAAACUGGGGCUAAUACCGGAUAGGAGCUCCUGCUGCAUGGUGGGGGUUGGAAAGUUUCGGCGGUUGGGGAUGGACUCGCGGCUUAUCAGCUUGUUGGUGGGGUAGUGGCUUACCAAGGCUUUGACGGGUAGCCGGCCUGAGAGGGUGACCGGCCACAUUGGAACUGAGAUACGGCCCAGACUCCUACGGGAGGCAGCAGUGGGGAAUAUUGCACAAUGGGCGGAAGCCUGAUGCAGCAACGCCGCGUGCGGGAUGACGGCCUUCGGGUUGUAAACCGCUUUCGCCUGUGACGAAGCGUGAGUGACGGUAAUGGGUAAAGAAGCACCGGCUAACUACGUG